UUCGGCUCUCGCAGCGAAUUUACCGCUGUCCUCCGUCAGUCGUCGCCGACGCACCCCUUUAGAAUAAGUACAGCGAUCCGAUCGCCUUCCCUGCGGCGCGGC
Pseudomonadales bacterium GWC1_66_9 is the source of this 102-nucleotide non-coding RNA. Lineage: Bacteria; Pseudomonadati; Pseudomonadota; Gammaproteobacteria; Pseudomonadales. The record is from Rfam.